Molecule: ribosomal RNA, 424 nt
Filed under: uncultured bacterium
Lineage: Bacteria
Also listed under: 1 other name
Description: bacterial SSU rRNA
Rfam family: Bacterial small subunit ribosomal RNA
Source: RNAcentral
UGAGGAAUAUUGGUCAAUGGGCGAGAGCCUGAACCAGCCAAGUAGCGUGAAGGAUGACUGCCCUAUGGGUUGUAAACUUCUUUUAUAAAGGAAUAAAGUCGGGUAUGGAUACCCGUUUGCAUGUACUUUAUGAAUAAGGAUCGGCUAACUCCGUGCCAGCAGCCGCGGUAAUACGGAGGAUCCGAGCGUUAUCCGGAUUUAUUGGGUUUAAAGGGAGCGUAGAUGGAUGUUUAAGUCAGUUGUGAAAGUUUGCGGCUCAACCGUAAAAUUGCAGUUGAUACUGGAUAUCUUGAGUGCAGUUGAGGCAGGCGGAAUUCGUGGUGUAGCGGUGAAAUGCUUAGAUAUCACGAAGAACUCCGAUUGCGAAGGCAGCCUGCUAAGCUGCAACUGACAUUGAGGCUCGAAAGUGUGGGUAUCAAACAGG